GGGAUCAUUACCGAGUUUACAACUCCCAAACCCCUGUGAACAUACCUAUACGUUGCCUCGGCGGAUCAGCCCGCGCCCCGUAAAACGGGACGGCCCGCCCGAGGACCCCUAAACUCUGUUUUUAGUGGAACUUCUGAGUAAAACAAACAAAUAAAUCAAAACUUUCAACAACGGAUCUCUUGGUUCUGGCAUCGAUGAAGAACGCAGCAAAAUGCGAUAAGUAAUGUGAAUUGCAGAAUUCAGUGAAUCAUCGAAUCUUUGAACGCACAUUGCGCCCGCCAGUAUUCUGGCGGGCAUGCCUGUUCGAGCGUCAUUUCAACCCUCAAGCUCAGCUUGGUGUUGGGACUCGCGGUAACCCGCGUUCCCCAAAUCGAUUGGCGGUCACGUCGAGCUUCCAUAGCGUAGUAAUCAUACACCUCGUUACUGGUAAUCGUCGCGGCCACGCCGUAAAACCCCAACUUCUGAAUGUUGACCUCGGAUCAGGUAGGAAUACCCGCUGAACUUAAGCAUA
This 511-nucleotide ribosomal RNA is filed under the name Fusarium equiseti. RNAcentral's name for it is "eukaryotic LSU rRNA". The stretch from base 160 to 313 matches the Rfam family "5.8S ribosomal RNA". The record is from RNAcentral. Lineage: Eukaryota; Fungi; Ascomycota; Sordariomycetes; Hypocreales; Nectriaceae.